Molecule: ribosomal RNA, 370 nt
Filed under: uncultured eukaryote
Lineage: Eukaryota
Description: SSU rRNA
Rfam family: Eukaryotic small subunit ribosomal RNA
Source: RNAcentral
AGCUCCAGUAGUGUAUAUUAAAGUUGUUGCAGUUAAAAAGCUCGUAGUUGAAGUUUGGGGCGGGUCGAGGGGUUGCGGGGCUGUAAAAGGCCCCCUUCUCCUUGGCCUCUUCAAAUGGGCGGUUGGGUCUCUGACCCUUCCGCCAUUGUACCUCGAAUAAAUUAGAUUGUUCAAGGAAGGCCAUAUGGCUGGAAUAUUUUAGCAUGGAAUAGCGAAACAGGGCUUCGGAGGCAAGCUUGGUCGGCUUUGUUUGUCUCUAGCAAUGAUGGAUAGGGGUGGGGGGGGGCGUGGGUAUUGGGCAGCUAGAGGUGAAAUUCUUAGAUUUGCUCAAGACCAACACAAGCGAAAGCUCUCGCCAACUACAUCCCCA